UAGGGUUUGAUCCUGGCUCAGAUUGAACGCUAGCGGGAUGCCUUACACAUGCAAGUCGAACGGCAGCACGGACUUCGGUCUGGUGGCGAGUGGCGAACGGGUGAGUAAUGUAUCGGAACGUGCCCAGUAGCGGGGGAUAACUACGCGAAAGCGUAGCUAAUACCGCAUACGCCCUACGGGGGAAAGCAGGGGAUCGCAAGACCUUGCACUAUUGGAGCGGCCGAUAUCGGAUUAGCUAGUUGGUGGGGUAACGGCUCACCAAGGCGACGAUCCGUAGCUGGUUUGAGAGGACGACCAGCCACACUGGGACUGAGACACGGCCCAGACUCCUACGGGAGGCAGCAGUGGGGAAUUUUGGACAAUGGGGGAAACCCUGAUCCAGCCAUCCCGCGUGUGCGAUGAAGGCCUUCGGGUUGUAAAGCACUUUUGGCAGGAAAGAAACGUCGCGGGUUAAUACCCCGCGAAACUGACGGUACCUGCAGAAUAAGCACCGGCUAACUACGUGCCAGCAGCCGCGGUAAUACGUAGGGUGCAAGCGUUAAUCGGAAUUACUGGGCGUAAAGCGUGCGCAGGCGGUUCGGAAAGAAAGAUGUGAAAUCCCAGAGCUUAACUUUGGAACUGCAUUUUUAACUACCGGGCUAGAGUGUGUCAGAGGGAGGUGGAAUUCCGCGUGUAGCAGUGAAAUGCGUAGAUAUGCGGAGGAACACCCGAUGGGCGAAAGGCAGCCUCCUGGGA
This 735-nucleotide ribosomal RNA is filed under the name uncultured bacterium. RNAcentral describes it as "bacterial SSU rRNA". It matches the Rfam family "Bacterial small subunit ribosomal RNA", at positions 1 to 734 of the family's 1533-position model. The record is from RNAcentral.